This 371-nucleotide ribosomal RNA is filed under the name uncultured organism. RNAcentral describes it as "bacterial SSU rRNA". It matches the Rfam family "Bacterial small subunit ribosomal RNA", at positions 526 to 896 of the family's 1533-position model. The record is from RNAcentral.
CGUAGGGUGCGAGCGUUAAUCGGAAUUACUGGGCGUAAAGUGUGCGCAGGUGGCUGAGCAAGUCGAGUGUGAAAUCCCCGGGCUUAACUUGGGAAUUGCGCUCGAAACUACUUGGCUCGAGUGUGGCAGAGGAAGGUGGAAUUCCAGGUGUAGCGGUGAAAUGCGUAGAGAUCUGGAGGAACACCGAUGGCGAAGGCAGCCUUCUGGGCCAACACUGACGCUCAUGCACGAAAGCGUGGGGAGCAAACAGGAUUAGAUACCCUGGUAGUCCACGCCCUAAACGAUGAUGACUAGUUGUUGGGGAGUUAAAUCCCUUAGUAACGCAGCUAACGCGUGAAGUCAUCCGCCUGGGGAGUACGGUCGCAAGAUUA